Molecule: long non-coding RNA, 7093 nt
Filed under: Citrus maxima (pomelo)
Lineage: Eukaryota; Viridiplantae; Streptophyta; Magnoliopsida; Sapindales; Rutaceae
Description: long non-coding RNA (CMAX_LNC003180)
Source: RNAcentral
UGAAUGAAAUUCAGCAAGAAUGUUUAUUAUGAAAAGUUUAUUCUAACCCAUGCAUGAAUUAGGAUGCAAGGGUCGUGCUCGGGCAACUGCCCACAGUGCAGGCUAAUAUGUCUCUAUAAUCACGGGAUAUUCUAAAAGAGUCAUAAACCUUCCCAUCACUGCUCUUCUUAUACUCAAACAAUAGAUUUGAAUGAUCAAAUGCAGUAAGUUUAACGAAUCCAUAAUCAUAGUCUCUAUAUAAACUCCAAGUCGUUUGGAGAGGGGUAAAUUCUGCAAGGCCUGCUCCUCCUCCACCAGCCACUACAUGUAUUGUGCCAUUCAGCGUGCCCUUAUAAUAAUUCUUCUCUUUGUUGGUGCAAAUAUUCUGUGGCAGCAGAAUAUUGACAGUUCAGUUGUUAGCUAAGAGAACUGUAAUUUUUAAACCUUGAUUUUCAAUAACUGAAAUGAAAAGCAAUAAAGAAAACUAAAGGGAAAAUUUACAUACAUGACUAGGUCACAUUCAAACUUAAAAGCAUAAAGGCAGCCAUAUUCUGUAAUUUCUCUCUCUCUUUUUUUGGUUGUUUAAGCCCUAAUGGAAAAAAAAACCAAUGGUGGAAUGUGGAAAAGACAAAUAUGAGUUGCUUUGGAGUUUUUCCCUAUUCGCAUUUUCCCUUUGGCUGAGAUAAAAUACCUUAUAAAUAGUCGAAUGCCAUCAUAAUUCAGCUUAUCAGAAAACAAAUGAGGCAAAGAAAAUGAUAUCUGUUUCUUUGACAUUAGCUAAAACUGAAUUAGUAACUGAUUUCUAUUUCUUUGAAAUUAGCUUAAACUGAAUUCCUUAGUAGGCAAAAAUGCGGCAAUGAAACAGUGCGUAGUUCUUCAGUGCUUCAAAUUGGAAUAAUACCUGGUAUAUAGGACAUGUCCUUUCAUAAUUGUGCACAUGGCCAUAGAUGGCAAUGUCAACCUUGUACUUCUGCCAGAGUUUUUGAAGACUUUCUCUCCCCAUCGGCUCUGCAAAUGAUCCGUCUACGGCAUAGAAUAUACCAGAAGAAUAGCCAAGAACCCUAUGUGCAAGAAAGAUCAACCAUGGUUGCUUUUGCCUGUCAACAGAUGCCAGGCAAUGCUCGAUGAACUUGUAUUGCUCAGUUCCCUCUCUCCAAUCAUGUUCAGUGUCAGCUACACAAAAUCGGAACAUGCCAUAGUCGGUAGAGUACCUGGUAAUAAAAAUUAUGACUUUCAUCAAUAUAUCCCACAACAUAAGGAAACAAGUUGACAAAGCAAAUUAAGAAAUAAAAGAAUAAUCUGUUAGGUCCUUUUGUAUUAGUUCUCACAGAUUAUUAUGCUUGCAAAUAAUCUCAGACACUGAAUCCUAUAUGAUUAAGUAUUGUUUGCAUUUGUUACAGUGUAAGUAGAAUAAAUUAUGUCAUUAAAAAUUAUGAUGUAACUAGGUGUUGUCAAGGUCAAAAACCAAAAAAAGGGUCAAAGUAAAAUAUGAAAUUCUUACAAAAGAUAUUGUAACAUUGUGGAAUGCUAAUUAAAUUGAUGAUUUUUUCCUGAAAAAUCCCCAUACCAGAAUUUAGCCCUGUUCUCAGCAGGGACAUAAAACAUAGUCUCUGCCAACACACCGCAUUCUCCACCAGAAUCCUUGUUCCCGUAGAAAGAUCCUGUUCCCGGCCAGUCACGCUCAUGGUUGCCACUGGAAGGAGAAAUCACCGAUUGCCAAUCACCAAUUGCCUCAUAAGAUGAAGUUCAGGACUAGUUUAUGCUCCAAGAAACUGCUGAGCUACACAAGUAAAUUAUGACGAACCUGGCAAUCAUGUAUGGCACAGUUGAUGCAAUUGGUUCAAUCUGUGCUGUAAACUGGUCCCACUGGGAAAUGUAUCCAUUUGCAUAACAUAUGUCUCCAAUGUGGAAAACUAUGUCAAUGUUCUUCAAGUCUUGAAUAAGCUGUCUGGUGGUGUUAAGAGAAGCAUACUGGAAGUCAUUAUAUUCAUUAGAACCAUCAGCUUCAUCCUGAAACAUGAAACAUGAACAAAUUGCACAUAAGAAGAUGCUGAAACACGGAGAAAGACCUUUAAAGAGAGUACAAAAUGCCUAUGGUACUCUAUGUAUACUUAAAAGUUUCGACAAACACAACUCGCCCUUCGUUAGAUACCAAAAAUAGCUAUGCUAAUAACCUUGAUGGUUAUCAUGAACACAUUGCCAGAUGAAAAGCAAAAUCAAAUAAUAUUUUAGAGAUGAUUAGUUUAAGCAAGAAUAACGAGUAUAAUAUUGAGAAUAAUAACAAAAGGGUAUGUUAAUGCUCAUUCAAAUGUAUGGAUAACCUCAUGCGAUAUUACUUAUAACAAAAUAGAGCUGUCAAUAGAGUAGAUCUUAUCAGUGCCACCAAUUGACAUAAUUUAAAUGUUCUAUAACAGUUCAGACCUUUCCCAUGUCACCGAAAAUGACUACACGUUGCAAAGAAUUUUGACCGGGAUAAGGAGAUGCUUUAAACUGGUAUUCCGAACUCCAAAUAUAAGUGCUGUUGAACAAUCUAUGCCCAACUUUGUAGGUGUACCUACAUAAGAAAAAAGAACAAUAGUCAAAGGCAUACAAUAUGUUAAAGUUCCAUGUGCUGCAAAAGGCUGAUGAAAAUAUUCUAAACACAGUGCUAAAUUAAUAUUUAAUGAUUGUAUUCAAUGGUAAAGAUCUGACUUUAAGAUAGCCAUGUACUAUUGGAUUGCUGCGUAAGAGAGAGCAAAUAGAUCCAGAGCUUAAUUGUGACUUGCCUAACAUCAGAACAGACUUUCAAAUCAACAAAAUAUGAAUGUUAUUGCAUUUCAACAAUUAUUUCUGGGAAAGUAUAAAGUUUCCGCUGAUUAAAUUUCAAAUAAAACCAUGAAAAAUUCAGCAUACUGCAACGAAAUAUAGAUAAGCGUCCAUUAAUUAAGUUAAAUCAGCAUCAUGCACUAAUAUAAGAUGCAGCAUACAUUGCAUUGGGCCACAACUCCUUCAGAAAACUGGUGUGUAUGUACCCAGGAUCACGCCAUCCCACUGUCCGUGCUGGUGCACCUGUGCAUCAAAAUUUGAUAUUAGUCAUCUUCCUUGGGCAAAAGGGCCCAGGAAAAAACUUUAGGGUGACUUUACCCAACGUAGAAAACAAAAGGCCACAAAAUCCAUUGUACUCAGUUACUUUUUUAACUAGGGGAAGCCUUACCGAUUUAAAAAAUAGCAAAGAAGUAACAUUCAGUAACACUUACAGUUAUAGAAUAUCAUUUUAGAGAACAAUCAAAUUAUUAGCUUGCAAUAUACUUUGAAACUAAGUCUUUAGGAUAAGAUGCAGAAAGCAUCAGAAUUUACAUUAUGUACAGCAGACUAUUUUCUAUUUAAUAUCCACUGCUAUAAAUGCAUUUAAUUCAUAAUUUAACAAUAGUUUGACAAUUUUAAGUUAUGGAAAUUCCAGUUAACUCCCAGGUACAUCUUUUGGGUGAAAAUUUAAAAGGCAGAGAAGUUACGCACCACACAUACUCCCACGGUCGAAUGUCAGUGUUCCAGCUGGGGAAUGUGUACGAUCACCUCCUUUUCGGCCCCAUUGGACGAACGCUUCUGCUUCAUUUAUCCCAUAACCACUUGUCCAAGUUACUGUCAUCUGCAUUUAAAAAUAUUGUCAGCUUUAAAGUGAAAUAACGAUGAACAUCGUUGGUAACAUUCAAGUCCAGUUUGCUGGUGGACUUUUGAAUUGAACAGCGUGUCAAUGUAGAGAUAAAUGAUUGUAGAACUUUUAACAUGUUGAAAGUAAUCUCAAAUUACAUGACCUAAAUUUCAAGAGUUUUGAUAAUUACAAUAAAAAAUUGAACUUACUUCAUUCCAUGUUUUUCCUUGUGCCAAGCGUGGGUAAACUGGUGCAUUCGGAUUUGUGAAAGCUAUUUUAUUUGACACUGCAACCAGCUUUGGCUAUUAUCAUAACAAAAGGAAAAACAAAAAAAUUAUAGCAAGAGGAUAAGUAAACAAAUUGAAUCUUUCAGAUGUAAAGAUAGUACUGUAACAUUGAUAAGUCAUAAAUAUCAAAUGAUAGAAUAUUAUUUUAAGAGAUGAAGAAAGACAAACUGGGUUGAUGUUGAGAACAAUAGAAACAGUCCUCCAUAAUAUGUCAUCAAACUUAGUAUAAGAAAAACAAGAUGAGGAAAAUAAGACAAAGAUUAGCAUAGACCAAACCAUUAAUGGUUUCAUUUGGAUCAGGAUGAAGGUUCUAGAAGGAUAAGAGGAAGGUCAGAAGUUAUAUAUUGGUCAAGUCAAAGUCAAAAAUAUGGAUUGCGCUUGUAAUCUAUCAACCAGUUACAAAAAUAUUAUUUCUCUGUGCAAUCGCUAAGCAUCUCAACAAAUUCCUUUAAUAAAGAAAAUAAUUGACAGGCCAACUAAAUAAAUCAUUGUUUCUUCACAAUUUGGGUAUCUAAGGGGUAAAAUCAUUAGGAAAAAUUCGGAUAACCAUAUAAAUUAUGAAGAAAACAACAGUUAGGAGCGUACUUUUAACAAACCACCAGAAAAUAGUGCAACAGAGAAGUCUGAUCUCUGGUUAAUCAACAUAAGCUUCAAUGAUCCUUUGCCUGUACCUUUGUACUGAGGGCUAGAAUAGUUUGCAUACUGAUACUGUCAAGAGAAAUAAGGUAGUUAAGGAUUGAUAUAGGAAUUCCAGCAAACAAUCACUUAAAACCAGGAUAAGAAAGAAGGUAAAAGAGUUGUGGCAAAGAAGCAUAAUGCAAACCUUAAUUGGUGCAGAACACAACAGUGGCGGAUUAACACUUGGGUUUUCUGCAGAGCAAGUGGAUGCACUGGAAAUUGUGAAAGAUAUAUGGUUCCAAUUAGACUAAUAUUAUUCAGCUCAAUCAACAAAGACCAACAAGAAACAUAAAUAUAUGUAUGUCUUAUCAACCCGUUAUGCAUAUAAAAAGCAAAGAAAUAUUUUUUUUACCUGAAAUUCGAAGGAGAAAAUACUGCAAUCCAAUCAUCAACAGAUGGGUUUGGAGAACUAUACUCCACUGUCACCCACUCUGAGUUUUGCCCCUGAAACAGUAAAAUAUAUUUCAGUAAAUGCAAAGUACACUUGUGUUUUUCAUGCUUUAGUGUGUUUAAGAUUUUCGGUGGUUUGUAUUUUGAAGUAGCUUUGACCCAACAGGAGCUUUAACAAAUGCUAAAAUACUAUCUAACUUCAUGACCAUCAAGAGGUAAUCAAAUUAAUUUUGCUUCUCAUGUAUGUUCACCAAAUGAUAAGAAAGAGAAACAAAUUAAAGGAACAUGGUGUUGCUGAAGCUUACCUUCAAUCCAACUACAGCAGGAGAGGCUUUAACAUAGGCAUUGUCAUUAAGAGCAUAUAUAGCCUUACGAAUAGCAAUUCUUGAGAGCGGAUGAUCUCCAUGAGAACUUGCUACUUGAAAGGUUCCAAGAACCAAUAGAAUUCCAAAGAAGAUCAAUCUCAAUUCUCUCAUCCUAACAAGUAUCUAAAAUCAAUCAAAAACAGGAAAGAUGGUAUAAAUCGGUAAGAACGUCUUCUGAAACCCAAAACUUAGAAUUCAAAUCGCAACUUCAAAGCAUGAUAACAACGGUGAAAUAUACCAACUUUUAUCAUUGCUUAUGCCCGGAAAGAAAAAAUUUAAAGCAACACGAUAUCUUUUUCCAAUCUACAAUCUACUGAUGCAAUAAAACAGAGGCUGUCGCGAGUCUAAAUCCAUAUUCAUAAAAUGAUAGCUUUGGCCAAGCAUCUAUCGAGCAUAGCUUGGUAAGCUGCGCUGAAGCCGAGAUAUUAAGAUCCCUCGAUUUACACCUACAAGUGGGGGAGUCCACUUCUCAACCAUAUUUUAAAUCUAACAAAAAGUUCAGUUAUUCUCCAGACACUUGCAAAUAAUAUGAAUAUAAGUGAGAUAAAUAUACGUGAAACCAGAGUCGUUGGCUCAUAAGAUGACAAAUUACAAUUAAACAAUCACAGGAGCAACCGUUUGUACACCAAGAAACAAAUUCUUACUUAGUAUGUUGUACACAGUUCUCAUUCGUCUGACUAGUAGAAAAAUGACAAAUAACCAACUGGCUAUUUAAAGAAGUUGAUGAAAAAAUAAUAAUAUAACAAAACAAAUAACAAUGGUACUGAGUAGUGAACACGGAGUGCUGACCAAGUGGAAUGUAUUAAUGAAAGAGGAUGACGAAUCAGGCAGAAGUUAUUACUGAGAUCGGAUGAAGUGGGUACUUUCAAAUACCGAUCAUUUCAAGUACUAUCGAAUGUAGCACCAGAUCCGAAAGACAGUAAGCCGUUUCUUUCUUACGAAGGAAGGUCUUUUUCAAAUAUUCUACAUCAAUCUUUAUAUGAAACCAAAGGCACGAGUCCACCAAUCUUUUGCUUAAGAAGGAAAUUUAAUUCUGUCACGCGGGCCGCGGGCCACACUAUGUCAACCCUGUUGCCUGCCCAAUUGCCAACUGGGCAGUGGGCGCGCGGUUCCAGAAACGUAAGUAACUUGAUAAGAAUCGUAUUUGGGAAAUUUUCAAUGGUGCCCCUGAUUUUUGGCCUAAAAUCAGCAGAACCCACAGUUUUGGCUUGUUCUGACGUUUCAAUCCACACGGUUGAGGAUUAGACAGAAACAAUCAAGCAUGAAAUAUUUGUAUCCAUGGCUGAAGUCCAUCGCUCUGUUAUCCGAAUUCAACACCACGAUUUAAAUUAAAGCUUAGAUAUUCUAAAUUUUGUACACUUUUAUUGAAUUUUGUGUACACGAAAAUGCCUCUCGUACUACAAUCAUUACAUGGAGGAGGAAAAUACCACUCAAGAGUCAAGUCUAGUCGUGUAAGCCACAUUUGGAGUUGGAAAUAUAUUUACAAAAUCUUGGAGCCCUAUAGUACAAACAUGAAACCAAAGAAAAUAACAUAUAUUAGGAUGUCACAAUAUGAAUUGCAAUUUUUCACAAGAAAUUUUAUUAAACCUGUAACCCCUUGCAAAAACUAGGAUGCAAGAGUCAUGCUCGGGCAACUGUCCACGCUGCAGGCUAAUAUGUCUCUAUAAUCCCGGGAUAUUCUAAAAGAGUCGUAAACUUUUCCGUCUCUGCUCUUCUUAUACUCGAACAAUAGAUUUGAAUGAUCAAAUGCUGUAAGUUUAACAAAC